RNAcentral lists this ribosomal RNA (469 nucleotides) under uncultured bacterium. RNAcentral describes it as "bacterial SSU rRNA". It matches the Rfam family "Bacterial small subunit ribosomal RNA", at positions 28 to 507 of the family's 1533-position model. The record is from RNAcentral.
GAUGAACGCUGGCGGCGUGCCUAAUACAUGCAAGUCGAGCGAACCACUUCGGUGGUGAGCGGCGAACGGGUGAGUAACACGUAGGAAUCUACCUAGUAGUGGGGGAUAGCUCGGGGAAACUCGAAUUAAUACCGCAUACGACCUACGGGUGAAAGGGGGCGCAAGCUCUUGCUAUUAGAUGAGCCUAAAUCAGAUUAGCUAGUUGGUGGGGUAAAGGCCUACCAAGGCGACGAUCUGUAACUGGUCUGAGAGGAUGAUCAGUCACACCGGAACUGAGACACGGUCCGGACUCCUACGGGAGGCAGCAGUGGGGAAUAUUGGACAAUGGGGGCAACCCUGAUCCAGCCAUGCCGCGUGUGUGAAGAAGGCCUUUUGGUUGUAAAGCACUUUAAGCAGGGAGGAGAGGCUAAUGGUUAAUACCCAUUAGAUUAGACGUUACCUGCAGAAUAAGCACCGGCUAAACUCUGUG